AGAAUCAACGCUGGCGGCGUGCCUAACACAUGCAAGUCGCACGAGAAAGGGGAGCAAUCCCUGAGUAAAGUGGCGCACGGGUGAGUAACACGUGAAUGAUCUACCUCCGAGUGGGGGAAUAACUGAGAGAAAUCUUAGCUAAUACCGCAUAACACUUACGAGUCAAAGCAGCAAUGCGCUUGGAGAGGAGUUCGCGGCAGAUUAGUAGUUGCGGGGUAAUGGCCACCAAGACGAUGAUCUGUA
Molecule: ribosomal RNA, 243 nt
Filed under: uncultured bacterium
Lineage: Bacteria
Description: partial small subunit ribosomal RNA
Rfam family: Bacterial small subunit ribosomal RNA
Source: RNAcentral